GCGUGCUAAUCUGCGAUAAGCGCCGGUAAGGUGAUAUGAACCGUUAUAACCGGCGAUACCCGAAUGGGGAAACCCAGUGUGAUUCGUCACACUAUCAUUAACUGAAUCCAUAGGUUAAUGAGGCGAACCGGGGGAACUGAAACAUCUAAGUACCCCGAGGAAAAGAAAUCAACCGAGAUUCCCCCAGUAGCGGCGAGCGAACGGGGAGGAGCCCAGAGCCUGAAUCAGCAUGUGUGUUAGUGGAAGCGUCUGGAAAGGCGCGCGAUACAGGGUGACAGCCCCGUACACAAAAGCGCAUGUGCUGUGAGCUCGAUGAGUAGGGCGGGACACGUGGUAUCCUGUCUGAAUAUGGGGGGACCAUCCUCCAAGGCUAAAUACUCCUGACUGACCGAUAGUGAACCAGUACCGUGAGGGAAAGGCGAAAAGAACCCCGGCGAGGGGAGUGAAAAAGAACCUGAAACCGUGUACGUACAAGCAGUGGGAGCACAGGUUUACCUGUGUGACUGCGUACCUUUUGUAUAAUGGGUCAGCGACUUAUAUUCUGUAGCAAGGUUAACCGAAUAGGGGAGC
This 570-nucleotide ribosomal RNA is filed under the name Salmonella enterica. RNAcentral describes it as "partial 23S ribosomal RNA". It matches the Rfam family "Bacterial large subunit ribosomal RNA", at positions 56 to 666 of the family's 2925-position model. The record is from RNAcentral. Lineage: Bacteria; Pseudomonadati; Pseudomonadota; Gammaproteobacteria; Enterobacterales; Enterobacteriaceae.